CGUAGGGCGCAAGCGUUAUCCGGAAUUAUUGGGCGUAAAGAGCUCGUAGGCGGUUUGUCGCGUCUGCUGUGAAAGACCGGGGCUCAACUCCGGUUCUGCAGUGGGUACGGGCAGACUAGAGUGCAGUAGGGGAGACUGGAAUUCCUGGUGUAGCGGUGAAAUGCGCAGAUAUCAGGAGGAACACCGAUGGCGAAGGCAGGUCUCUGGGCUGUAACUGACGCUGAGGAGCGAAAGCAUGGGGAGCGAACAGGAUUAGAUACCCUGGUAGUCCAUGCCGUAAACGUUGGGCACUAGGUGUGGGGGACAUUCCACGUUUUCCGCGCCGUAGCUAACGCAUUAAGUGCCCCGCCUGGGGAGUACGGCCGCAAGGCUA
RNAcentral lists this ribosomal RNA (373 nucleotides) under uncultured organism. RNAcentral's name for it is "bacterial SSU rRNA". It matches the Rfam family "Bacterial small subunit ribosomal RNA", at positions 526 to 896 of the family's 1533-position model. The record is from RNAcentral.